AGGCUUAGUUGAGUUGAGUAUAAUAACAUGAUACUAUUAAUUAGGUUCUUGAAUUGAAUUUAUGCUCAUACUCAUACAUGGCCAAAGUGCUCAUUAUUGAUGCAUAGUGAAAAUAUCAAAAAGCAUUGAUCAGACCGAGGAAACAUCCUCCUAGCAAAUGCAAGAGGAGAGGUUUGUAUCUCUGAUUGCCCCCAAAGCCUGCAGUGUGGGAAGCCUCAUGCGCUGGGAAGUUAGGAGCACUCUUUGUAGUAAUUUUACAGCUUGUGCACCUUGAAAAACUACAAAUGUAACAGAGAGAACUUUGUGGGAUUAUUAUGUUCAUGUAUGUUGCCAACUGCAGGUUCUUAUAUGUUUCAGAGCUUGUAAAUGUUCCAGUUGGUUAAUUGUUAUCCCUGAUAUGUGCAUUGGUAACUUUAAUUUAUAACUUUUGCCAUUCCACAUAAUACUUGUCAAACUUCAUCUAAUAUUUUGAUAUAAGAUUCUCUCAUCUUAAUACAUCUAAAAUUUCAGAAUUCUCGGAGUCAUUGCGGGAAAUGGGUUCUUGUCUACUGGAGAAAACUGCGUUACAUGAUGAUGAAGAAAGUGGUAAGUGAAAGUGUGAAAAAGGAUUAUCAAAUUGCUUUUUGUUCUAGCAAUUGUUUAAGAUAGAUAUUGGCAUUGUAACAUGUUCUAUCAAAUUUAGCCUGGAAGUUUAUAAUGUUCACAGUUCACCUCAUCAUUAAAAUGCCACACCUCUCAGGUAUCAGGGGAACUAGGCUUUAUAAUAUACUCAUAUGUACAUAUUUGUAUUAUAUGCAUGGUUCGACUAAAUCACAUAGUGUUUUCUUUGGGGGAAGGAAAAAGAGAGUUGUUUAUUGCUAUAUGGAUCAGAAGGCCCUUUAAACCUUUCUUAUGUUAUAUACAGAUGACUUUGAUUUUGAAUGAAAAAUUUUUUGUGCCUUUCUAGUUUGUUCAUGAUCAAAUUUGGGAGCUUAGGUCUGUAAAUCUCUGAUUCUUUUAGCUUGAGAAGGUUACAUCUGAUUGCUUUAGGCAGGAGUAGGUUUGGUGUUUAGCUCAUAAAAGUAUGUUCUAUAAUGAAUAUUUUAUGUUUUUGUCUUUCCUUCUCUCCUCCUCCUUCAUAUGUCGAGACAUCUUACCUUUAUUUGAACUUUGUAUAUUUUGGUUUGAAAUUAAGGCUUAUUUUAGUUGAAUAUCAUCUUUAUAUUUUUCUUUCAGUGCUCAAAGAGUUUGCUUGAUUUUAUUGUUGUAAUACGGGCUGUUGAAAUUAAUAUAUACUGUUAACUGUUGACCCAUUAAGUACAUAGAGAUGCACCCUAAUUUGUUUUAUUAGUUAUUUCCCUUCUAUAUGAGAACAUGUGUUUUGAGAAUUAAUGAACAUGCUAUUCAAACUUCAUAAUUUUUAAAGGCACAAGGUGCAAAGGUGUCCUGUACCCUAGGCUGCAAAGUGAGAGAGGUGAAGUGCAAAAGAAAUAAAAUAAAUAAGACAACUAAUCCUGUAUAAGACAACUACUUAUAUUAAUAACAUAAAAAAAUUUAGAAUUCUAGCACUAACUUUUUUGAAUCCCAAAUGGAAAUAAAACUAAUAAUGUUAAAAAGUUUUGAACCAUAUUCCUACAUUCCUACUAGAUAGCAAUAAUCCCAUGAAACAACUUGAUGUAGAACCAGGAAGAACAAAUAUCAAGAGAAACAAAUUCUCAAAGAUCAAGAGUAACAAAUUCUCAAGUAUAAAAAGAAACAAAUUCUCAAAAUUUCUUGAAUGAAAAUGAAAGCAAAAAGAAACAAGAGCAUUAAAGGAAUUCUUGAAUGAAAAUGAAAGCAAAAAGAAACAAGAGCAUUAAAGGAAAAAAGAAACAAGAAAAACAUCCAGAAAAUGGAUAGUAUUUUAGAGUCAUCUGGAAAAGGAAAAAAAAAUGAGAAAAGAAAGGAAAAAAAGGUGUGAGGAGUGAUAGAAUUGAAUAAAAUAUAAAGAGGGAAAAGUCAUCUCAUGGCAACUAGAUCUCGAGAUUUAGUCAAUCUCAUUCCAAAAUCUGAGCAGUUUCAGUCUCAUGUUAACAAACAUAAUCUUAGCCUAUUUCUUUGUAUUGAGCUAUAUUCUUGUGUACAUUCCUUACAUAUGUAUAACUUUGUGUGUUUGUAUAGAAAUCAUUCUUUAAUAAAAUAACAGAGAUAGAAAACAAAUAUUUCUCUUAAAAAAUUCUUAGAGGCAAUAGAGAUAGAAUGAAGGAAAGGGAUCUUAGACAGUCGUAUUUUGUAUUGAGUUAGUGGAGUAGAAUAGAUUCAGAAAAAUAGAAAAUAAAGGACCAUGAGAGCUGGAAAAAAGAAGAAGAAAAUUGGAGUAAAAAACAAUAGCAAAGAAGGAUGAUGGGUAGAGGGAGAAACCUGAUUGCGAGCUAUAGAAAAACCCAAACAGUAGUAUUUUCUUCCCCUUUGUGUAGGAAGGUUGUUUAUUCCAAACCAAUGUUGGUUUCUUUCUUUUUGUUGUUUUGGUUUGACUUGGUCAGUUGAUCUACAUGACAAUGGUAAGGCCACUUGCAUAGUUGAAUUAAAAGUGGAGUCUUCUUCUUCUU
RNAcentral lists this unclassified non-coding RNA (2567 nucleotides) under Hevea brasiliensis (rubber tree). The record is from RNAcentral. Lineage: Eukaryota; Viridiplantae; Streptophyta; Magnoliopsida; Malpighiales; Euphorbiaceae.